AGAGCGAACGCUGGCGGCAGGCUUAACACAUGCAAGUCGAGCGGGCGUAGCAAUACGUCAGCGGCAGACGGGUGAGUAACGCGUGGGAACGUACCUUUUGGUUCGGAACAACACAGGGAAACUUGUGCUAAUACCGGAUAAGCCCUUACGGGGAAAGAUUUAUCGCCAAAAGAUCGGCCCGCGUCUGAUUAGCUAGUUGGUGAGGUAACGGCUCACCAAGGCGACGAUCAGUAGCUGGUCUGAGAGGAUGAUCAGCCACAUUGGGACUGAGACACGGCCCAAACUCCUACGGGAGGCAGCAGUGGGAAUAUUGGACAAUGGGCGCAAGCCUGAUCCAGCCAUGCCGCGUGAGUGAUGAAGGCCCUAGGGUUGUAAAGCUCUUUUGUGCGGGAAGAUAAUGACGGUACCGCAAGAAUAAGCCCCGGCUAACUUCGUGCCAGCAGCCGC
Molecule: ribosomal RNA, 447 nt
Filed under: uncultured bacterium
Lineage: Bacteria
Description: SSU rRNA
Rfam family: Bacterial small subunit ribosomal RNA
Source: RNAcentral